AAUAUUCAGUUUUGGAUUAUUUUACAGACAUUGUUGAUAUAAAACACUCAUCAGAGCAGGUACAGUCAUACAUGUAAUGUCUAUAGCACAGACUGUAAAACAGGACUGGGCCUGUGAACAUAUCCUGCCUUUCCACCAGGGUUACUCACUAAACCACGCCCCGACACAAACACACCACCCGGUCUCUCAGUAGCCCGGCCACACCUCUGUUGGUCAGUAUCUGCUGUGUGUUGGGAGGUGAGGGAAGGUUGAUUGGGUACAAAUUAAGUUGCGUGUCCUGUAUCUGUCCCGUCUUCUUAUUGAUGAUUGAUAUAUGAUCUUGCAAUAAUAGUAUAUCCUGUUUAUCAGCUGCUUCUAUCCAAAGCAACGUACAUUUUAACUUAUGGGUGACCCCAGCGGGAAUUAAACCUGCAAUCCUGAUGUUGCAAGCACCAUGCUCUACCAAUGGACCUACAGAGGACCACCAUGUGUUGAUCCAGUUGUUAUGUGUUGUCUGUCUGUCACUAUUAAGCCCAGUAAUAAUGGCCUGUUGGGUGUAAAUUACGUUUAUUACAUUGAAGUGAAUAAACCAGGUGGUAGAUCAUUAUAAACCCAGUUGGUAGUUUAGGUGGUAGAUCAUUAUAAACCCAGUUGGUAGUUUAGGUGGUAGAUCAUUAUAAACCCAGUUGGUAGUUUAGGCGGUAGAUCAUUAUAAACCCAGUUGGUAGUUUAGGUGGUAGGUCAUGGAUGUGCUGGGUUUAGGAGUAACCCCUGUAGUCUCUGCUCUGUUAGCGACACAUGGAGUAAGAUAAUUCAACGUGCAACAAUUUCCCCAUAGAGUUUAAACUGCAAACAUUUUCAUUAUCAUUCUUCCUCUUUUCUUCAUCAGCGUCUUCAUCAUCAUCAUCAUCAUCAUCUCAGAUAUUGUUGCCAUCACAGAGUCAGUGAUGAAGUUCUGGUGUGUGUGUGUGUAUAUAUAUAUAUAUAUAUAUAUAUGUGGUAUGUGUAGAUAGGUAGGUAGGUAGUUAGUUCUGGUGUGUGUAUAUAUAUAUGUGGUAUGUGUAGAUAGGUAGGUAGGUAGGUAGGUAGUUAGUUCUGGUGUGUGUAUAUAUAUAUGUGGUAUGUGUAGAUAGGUAGGUAGUUAGUUCUGGUGUCUCUGGCCUCCUCUCCAGAGUCAAAGUCUUUUGUUUCCAUAGUGUUGAUAGGUUGAUAUCACAUUGUGACAUUGUAUUGCGUUGUACAAUAAACGUCCCAGCAACACUUCAAACACACAGCUCCUUCUCCCAUCUACCUAUAGCGAGUCGGCGUAUCAAGCCACCAUGGCAACCCUGGUGGGUGUGGCUCUUCCUGUCUUGUUGCCGGGGUAACAUCCAUCCUGCUGACUUGUGGGUUAGGGCUAGGUUCAGGGUUCAGGUAAUCUGGUGUUACACCACUGGACAAAACACCAGCCUUACACUCAACUAUAACUGAGUUUAUCAGGGUGUUAAUCUGGCUAUUCUGAUUUUGACUCCGUAUGACAGAAGACAAGCAUUCUCUGGG
This 1518-nucleotide long non-coding RNA is filed under the name Salmo salar (Atlantic salmon). Its description in RNAcentral is "lncRNA (ENSSSAG00000099570.1)". The record is from RNAcentral. Lineage: Eukaryota; Metazoa; Chordata; Actinopteri; Salmoniformes; Salmonidae.